AACGAACGCUGGCGGCGCGCUUAACACAUGCAAGUCGAACGAGAAGCUGUAGCAAUACAGUUGUACAGUGGCGAACGGGUGAGGAAUACAUGGGUAACCUACCCUCGAGUGGGGAAUAACCAGCCGAAAGGCUGGCUAAUACCGCGUACGCUUCCCAAUCUGCGGGUUGGGAAGGAAAGCUCUACCGUGGGUAGAGCGCUCAAGGACGGGCUCAUGUCCUAUCAGCUUGUUGGAGGGUAACGGCCUACCAAGGCAACGACGGGUAGCUGGUCUGAGAGGACGAUCAGCCACACUGGCACUGCGACACGGGCCAGACUCCUACGGGAGCAGCAGUGAGGAAUAUUGCGCAAUGGGCGACAGCCUGACGCAGCGACGCCG
Molecule: ribosomal RNA, 378 nt
Filed under: uncultured bacterium
Lineage: Bacteria
Description: bacterial SSU rRNA
Rfam family: Bacterial small subunit ribosomal RNA
Source: RNAcentral